RNAcentral lists this ribosomal RNA (492 nucleotides) under uncultured bacterium. RNAcentral describes it as "partial 16S ribosomal RNA". It matches the Rfam family "Bacterial small subunit ribosomal RNA", at positions 29 to 507 of the family's 1533-position model. The record is from RNAcentral.
AGUGAACGCUGGCGGUAGGCCCAACACAUGCAAGUCGAACGGCAGCACAGUAAGAGCUUGCUCUUACGGGUGGCGAGUGGCGGACGGGUGAGGAAUACAUCGGAAUCUACUUUUUCGUGGGGGAUAACGUAGGGAAACUUACGCUAAUACCGCAUACGACCUACGGGUGAAAGCAGGGGAUCUUCGGACCUUGCGCGAUUGAAUGAGCCGAUGUCGGAUUAGCUAGUUGGCGGGGUAAAGGCCCACCAAGGCGACGAUCCGUAGCUGGUCUGAGAGGAUGAUCAGCCACACUGGAACUGAGACACGGUCCAGACUCCUACGGGAGGCAGCAGUGGGGAAUAUUGGACAAUGGGCGCAAGCCUGAUCCAGCCAUACCGCGUGGGUGAGGAAGGCCUUCGGGUUGUAAAGCCCUUUUGUUGGGAAAGAAAAGCAGCAGGUUAAUACCCCGCUGUUCUGACGGUACCCAAAGAAUAAGCACCGGCUAACUUCGUG